GAGUGAUUUCCGUUAAGGAGAUCUUUUGGCACCUCUAAAAAUGGUGCAGAAUAAGGGGUGGGCAAGUCUGGUGUCAGCCGCCGCGGUAAUACCAGCACCCCGAGUGGUCGGGACGUUUAUUGGGCCUAAAGCAUCCGUAGCCGGUUCUACAAGUCUUCCGUUAAAUCCACCUGCUUAACAGAUGGGCUGCGGAAGAUACUAUAGAGCUAGGAGGCGGGAGAGGCAAGCGGUACUCGAUGGGUAGGGGUAAAAUCGCGUUGA
This 261-nucleotide ribosomal RNA is filed under the name uncultured archaeon. RNAcentral's name for it is "partial 16S ribosomal RNA". It matches the Rfam family "Archaeal small subunit ribosomal RNA", at positions 383 to 645 of the family's 1478-position model. The record is from RNAcentral.